GGUGACGUCCGAAGUGCGUGGCGGACCGACUGCAAAUUGCAGGCUGCAACGGCGGCGCCGCGUGCGAUUCGAGGCUAACUUAUCCCCGGGUCCCCGAGAAAGCUGCGCCGCACCGUUCCGGCGCCUACGGAGGCCGCGUGGGGCGGUGCACACGGCUACCGUGAUCAAGAAGUAGGUGGAGAAGGACAACGCGCGAGCGCGAGCCCCGUGCUUAUGCGAGUGCAUACGUGCUACUCGGUGCAUGCGCCUGCGUCCGCGAUAACGCGCCAACCGGUGACUUAACAAUGGAAAACCGACCGACAAAAACUGGUCGCCGUAUCGGCGAAACGGUAACCGAACUGCCAGCACUGCCAGUGACGCUCUCCGUCGGCUUGACUCGUCGGCGACGUCUCGUUUCGAUGUUGCUCGGUGGUCUUAAAGAUCAUGGUAAGCGAUGCGAUUUUGCAUUUAUGGGGAAAAUGACCGGAGGAGGUACCGAAUUGGAGAGAAUAUAGAAUAACAUUGGAAUUCCAUUUCGAAGACUCACUAUCCAGCUGUAAGAUUGGUUCAAGGAAUGGUCUGGGUGCGGUGAGUCAACGCGCGGGAACGGCGACGAAUCAUCGUCAAUUUCACCAGCGCGCUGAGCUAUGCCAACCGGCGCGGCCCAGCUCGGCGACCAGUGACGUAAUCGCAUCGCGAAGGCACCAUUGGCCCUUUUAUCGUGCCCGUCGCCGCAAGAACGAUCUGCUUUUCUGCAAUGCAAAAGAAGGGGAAGGAGUAACGAUCCUCGGGUGCCGAUUUCCCACAUACGCAACGAGCCGCCGCCACUUCCAGACCCCGUUGAUCCCUUUCUCGCCUUCCUCGUGGCUCUUCGUAUCAUUCUACCAGUUUGCUGUAUCAUUAUCCACGCCCAUCGUUCGAGCCAUUCAAUUCGCAGCGAAUUGAAGGACAGAAAUGCACGCUAUUACAGACGUUAACAGUGUUUGAACUGUAUUAAAAACGAACACGCGAAUCGUAGCACGACACCAAUAUUUCAAAUAUUUUCCUUGGACUGCUGACCAUGGUUUACAUAUUUUUCUGCUAUGUAAUACGAAUAAUGCGUUCGAGAAAAUGAAUGAGCUUGACUACCUUGCACGAGUUAUCCACGAUAGUAUGGGACCUCGCGCAUACUUGAAAACGAACGUCGAUAGAGUUCGCAGUGGCAGAAUAAAUAGCAAUUAACAGAACAGGUGACCCUGUACAGGUUGUUAGAGCCAGCGGCAAGUAAGAUGGAAGAAGCGUGCACGGUAAUAUGUUACAAGGACACGAUAGUUGUCGCAGCUGCCAUACUCGUAUCGGCGAUAUUUCUUCUAUACUGAACCGUUAAGUGUCACUGUCCAUAACAGAGGAAAAGACUUUUUCUGCGCAGGGAAGUUAGCUCCGGUUGUGACGCCUCGCUUCAUCAAGGUACCUUGUCACGAUGCAGAGACAAUGAUCCUAUAAAGAGGACUAUUUGUCGGUGGUCCGUGCAGGUCUGUGCUUUUUACCGGUUGAUUAUUAAUCAACUCCACUCCUGCAUUUUUCAAGGAAAACCUUUUCGCGAAGAUCAGUACAUAAUAAUAGUUCUUUUAAGAUUUCAGAUCAAUCGACGGGAGCGUCAUGAAAAACUCCUAAAAAAAAAUGGCAACAAUUUCAUUCACACUUCAAUAAAAUAUUUCGAUUAAUA
This is a non-coding RNA of Megalopta genalis, 1684 nucleotides long. NCBI's taxonomy places the organism in Eukaryota, Metazoa, Arthropoda, Insecta, Hymenoptera, Halictidae. The record is from RefSeq and is a predicted model, not a curated record.